Molecule: transfer RNA, 63 nt
Filed under: Cavia porcellus (domestic guinea pig)
Lineage: Eukaryota; Metazoa; Chordata; Mammalia; Rodentia; Caviidae
Rfam family: tRNA
About the family: Transfer RNA (tRNA) molecules are approximately 80 nucleotides in length. Their secondary structure includes four short double-helical elements and three loops (D, anti-codon, and T loops). Further hydrogen bonds mediate the characteristic L-shaped molecular structure. tRNAs have two regions of fundamental functional importance: the anti-codon, which is responsible for specific mRNA codon recognition, and the 3' end, to which the tRNAs corresponding amino acid is attached (by aminoacyl-tRNA synthetases). tRNAs cope with the degeneracy of the genetic code in two manners: having more than one tRNA (with a specific anti-codon) for a particular amino acid; and 'wobble' base-pairing, i.e. permitting non-standard base-pairing at the 3rd anti-codon position.
Source: Rfam by way of RNAcentral
GUAUAGCUCAGUGGCAUAGUACCUGCCUGGCAAGCAUGAGAUUCUGAGUUCAAUUCCCAGUAC